This is a long non-coding RNA of Betta splendens (Siamese fighting fish), 457 nucleotides long. RefSeq lists it as uncharacterized. NCBI's taxonomy places the organism in Eukaryota, Metazoa, Chordata, Actinopteri, Anabantiformes, Osphronemidae. The record is from RefSeq and is a predicted model, not a curated record. The transcript is spliced from 3 exons.
AAGUUCACAAAGGAGUAAACGUUUACAGGCUAAUUUUAGGAGCAGUAAGCUAGCAGACAGGUGGGCGCGCGCCCCCGUUGAGCCCCAGCUCCGCGUGCGGUGCGCGGCCGCCAGAAUUCGGAGUCUGCGCUGUGGUCGCCAUGGAUAUGGAGAGCGCCUCAUUCAUGAACCGAGCCGCAGUGGAGGAAUUUCAGAUCAUUAUUCCAGCUCCAUUGGACGAUGGUGCGGAGAAGGAAGGAUCUGAACGUGUCAAACCCAAGCUGUGACCACAAUUGUAGGAUUUUGUACAAAAACACAAGUGAAAGAGCUUUCCCUCCACGAGCCGGGGUCUCCACAGCUCUUUCCAGUAAAGGUCACGGCUGCCAGGAUUUCCUCGCCGCUUCCCAGCAGCCAUGAGGAGUAUCACAAGGCCCUGUAAUAACCUUCCCACAAAAAAAAAAAAAAAAAAAAAAAGAAA